GCUUAACAAAAAGGAGGAUAUGGAGGAAAAGGGAAAAAAACAUUGGGCCAUUUUCAUAUUAUCCUAAAAGUUGGGAUCUUUUACACAAAGAACUUCAUACUUCAAUUACAAGUCAUUAAAAAUUAUAAUUAUGUCUUUGUUGAAAUAUUGAACUUUUAACCACUCUGAUCAGAUGAAUUACUUUUAGAGCUUUGUAGCAUCAUUCGAUAAGAAAAGUUGCUUUAGACUGAUCCAAAGCCUGUUCUGAAAGAACUUAAACUAAAACACUUCUAACUUGUUUCCAACUCAAUCUAGAAUGACCUAACAUACCACCCAUUGACGAAUACCAUCUGACCAGAAGCAGUAGUCCAGUGCCUUUGACAAGAGUUUUCACUUUAGGCACCGUAAACCAUACAAGGUAGUUGAAAAAAUGACUGGUCCAAUAUGCUCUUUGUAAGCAUAUCCUCCAUCAAGUUUAAGAAACAUCCUCAUUCUCACAACCUUUACCGCAUCCAUUUCCAUUGUUAAACCAGUCAAAUCAAUACCACUUAAUUUCCUUUUCAUAAUUUCAAAUUCUAUUAAAUAAUCCUAUUUUGUAACUGCACUUUUUAUUUGCAUCUUCUAUAUAAUCAAACAACAAUUAUU
This 624-nucleotide long non-coding RNA is filed under the name Gossypium barbadense (sea-island cotton). RNAcentral describes it as "long non-coding RNA (GBAR_LNC020699)". Lineage: Eukaryota; Viridiplantae; Streptophyta; Magnoliopsida; Malvales; Malvaceae. The record is from RNAcentral.